Molecule: non-coding RNA, 864 nt
Organism: Salvia hispanica
Lineage: Eukaryota; Viridiplantae; Streptophyta; Magnoliopsida; Lamiales; Lamiaceae
Source: RefSeq, a predicted model, not a curated record
CUUACUUUUUCAUUCACUACAAUGCCUCCUCGCCCGCCCUAAUUCUUCCACUCCAGCCCGUCGCCGCCGUCGUCACUCCAGCUCCGUCGCCGCGUCGUCACUCCAGAUUCGUCGCCACUGUCGCCGCCGUCGCCGUUCCAGCCCUGUCGUCGCCGUCAACGCUCCAGCUCCGUCGCCGCUCCAGCCCUGUCGUCGCCGUCGCCGCUCCAGCCACGUCGUCGCCGCACCUUCUCCCACUGCCAUUUCAAUUUCUACAGCUUCUGGUGUUUGGAGACAGAAAAACCGGGUUAAUCAGUGCUGAAUGACUGCAGGAUCCAACCAAGGGGGAGUUCGGAGAGGAGUUGGUGUCAUUAACGGGCUCCUUCCACAAAUCUGUGACUACUUCAUUGAAAGGUAACCGAAUAGAUGAAGCUGGUGCUGCUUUUGAUGAGAUUGAGAGUGCUCUAUCGAACUUCGAUGAUGGGCCAUAUUUUCUUAGCCAGCUCAGUUUGAGGAUGGCAAAACAUUUUGCUGGGGAUGGAACAAAGAUGGGCAGCUUGGUUUGGGUGACGCGAUAGAUCGGAAUACUCCUCUAAAGUAGCGAUGGAGGGAUAUGUGGCGAGAAACGUGGAAUGCGGGUGGUGACCACACUUCUCCUAGAUGAGCCAACUAGCUGAUCAUGUCCCUCCCAGCCGAGACGAGUACAAUUGAGCCAACAGUCCCACAAGUCAAGUUACUCCGCUGCCCGACCUGAUGAUUGUACUACAUGAACAUAAACCGUUAUUUUGUUAACUAAUUUUAGAAUUUGCACUUAUGCUCAAUAUUAUUAAACUUUGGUGUAAUGAAUAAUUUUGAGUAAUUAAUGAGUAUUCGUGUCUAUUGUUA